AGACAAAUCCUUCAGCUGUCAGCCCUGAACAAGACCUCACUAACACUGGAGAUCUGCCAGCAGAAGAAACAGGGGAUAUGGCAAAUGCUGAACUUUCCCCUCCAUCAGCACUUGGAGAUGGAACUGGAACAGGAACAGGAGGAGCCCCAGCACUGGGAGAAGUGUCCUCACCUGGUUCUGCACCUCACAGCAGUGCUGGAGUGCAGCCUGAUCUCUCAGGGCCUGAAGGACCAGGGGACCUGCCCAGUGAAUCAGCCAGUGCUCCUGGGGCUGUUUCCCCACCCCUGGGCUCAGUGGCUGGCCCCAUGUCUGAGGCAGAGACACCAGUGAGCCCUGACCUCAGUGCUGCCCAGGGAGCACCUGGAUCUCCAUCCUUUGGUGGGUCACAGCCAUGGGGAGCAGCAGCUGGUGCUCCCGUGGGAGCAGGACUCCCUGGGGCCGAAGGGCCAGACACUGACUCGACUUUGGCAUGGGAUACCCCCAGCUCAGCAGUUCAUGAACCAGUAGGUCCCCCAUCACCUGGCCUUGGGGACCAGCUUGGCACAAAUGUGGGGCUGCCAGCAGCAGCUGGACAAGGAGGCAGCACAGCAGAGCCAGCACUGGAAGGAGCAGGCAGUGGGAUUGAGUCUGAGCCAUCCCUGAGCUCCCCUGCAGGGAGUGGAAUAGCAGGUGGGAUGGAUCAAGUGCCCAGUGCUGGUUCCCCAUCUGAUGUUACCUCUCCCAGUGAUGUGGUGGCAGCACCUUCUGUGUCAGGGGGUGAUGAAGCAGGACCUGUCUCAUCUGCAGCCCCUGGCCCUGACAGUCUAUCCCCGGCCUCUCCGGAUGGUGAAACUGGCCCAGGGUUUGGUCUCGUGCAGGGGGCUGGGAGUGCAGGGGAUGUGGCACAGGCAGGAAACCCAGAGAGUGAAAAUCCCAACAUGGAGACAAAUCCUUCAGCUGUCAGCCCUGAACAAGACCUCACUAACACUGGAGAUCUGCCAGCAGAAGAAACAGGGGAUAUGGCAAAUGCUGAACUUUCCCCUCCAUCAGCACUUGGAGAUGGAACUGGAACAGGAACAGGAGGAGCCCCAGCACUGGGAGAAGUGUCCUCACCUGGUUCUGCACCUCACAGCAGUGCUGGAGUGCAGCCUGAUCUCUCAGGGCCUGAAGGACCAGGGGACCUGCCCAGUGAAUCAGCCAGUGCUCCUGGGGCUGUUUCCCCACCCCUGGGCUCAGUGGCUGGCCCCAUGUCUGAGGCAGAGACACCAGUGAGCCCUGACCUCAGUGCUGCCCAGGGAGCACCUGGAUCUCCAUCCUUUGGUGGGUCACAGCCAUGGGGAGCAGCAGCUGGUGCUCCCGUG
Long non-coding RNA from Chloebia gouldiae (Gouldian finch), 1340 nucleotides. NCBI's taxonomy places the organism in Eukaryota, Metazoa, Chordata, Aves, Passeriformes, Passeridae. The record is from Ensembl.